Molecule: long non-coding RNA, 362 nt
Filed under: Hordeum vulgare
Lineage: Eukaryota; Viridiplantae; Streptophyta; Magnoliopsida; Poales; Poaceae
Description: long non-coding RNA (HVUL_LNC008785)
Source: RNAcentral
UAUCAGCCUUACGACCAUCAAGUAGUUCUUCAAAAGUCCACACUUUGUAUUCAUUCAUGGAUCCUAUCUCGAAUUUCAUGGCCUCCGGCCAUUCGUCGAAAUCCAGACCCACCAUCGAUUCUCCAUAGCUCGUAGGUUCAUCAUUGUCUAAAAACAUGACCUCCAAGACAAGGUUACCAUACCACUCUUUAGCAGUACGUGACCUUGUCGACCUACGAGUUUUGUAGUAACUUGAUCUGAAGCUUCAUGAUCACUAUCAUCAGCUUCCACUUCAAUUGGUGUUGGUGCUAGAGGAACAUCUUCCUGCGCCCUGCUACUCAUUGGUUGAAGUGACGGUUCAAUAACCUCAUCAAGUUUCCACC